GCCAUACCGCGUGGGUGAAGAAGGCCUUCGGGUUGUAAAGCCCUUUUGUUGGGAAAGAAAAGCAGUCGGCUAAUACCCGGUUGUUCUGACGGUACCCAAAGAAUAAGCACCGGCUAACUUCGUGCCAGCAGCCGCGGUAAUACGAAGGGUGCAAGCGUUACUCGGAAUUACUGGGCGUAAAGCGUGCGUAGGUGGUUGUUUAAGUCUGUUGUGAAAGCCCUGGGCUCAACCUGGGAAUUGCAGUGGAUACUGGGCGACUAGAGUGUGGUAGAGGGUAGUGGAAUUCCCGGUGUAGCAGUGAAAUGCGUAAAGAUCGGGAGGAACAUCCAUGGCGAAGGCAGCUACCUGGACCAACACUGACACUGAGGCACGAAAGCGUGGGGAGCAAACAGGAUUAGAUACCCUGGUAGUCCACGCCCUAAACGAUGCGAACUGGAUGUUGGGUGCAAUUUGGCACGCACUAUCGAAGCUAACGCGUUAAGUUCGCCGCCUGGGGAGUACGGUCGCAAGACUGAAACUCAAAGGAAUUGACGGGGGCCCGCACAAGCGGUGGAGUAUGUGGUUUAAUUCGAUGCAACGCGAAGAACCUUACCUGGUCUUGACAUGUCGAGAACUUUCCGGAGAUGGAUUG
This 631-nucleotide ribosomal RNA is filed under the name Stenotrophomonas sp. Se2Pt_1486. RNAcentral's name for it is "bacterial SSU rRNA". It matches the Rfam family "Bacterial small subunit ribosomal RNA", at positions 391 to 1013 of the family's 1533-position model. Lineage: Bacteria; Pseudomonadati; Pseudomonadota; Gammaproteobacteria; Lysobacterales; Lysobacteraceae. The record is from RNAcentral.